Molecule: ribosomal RNA, 468 nt
Filed under: uncultured bacterium
Lineage: Bacteria
Description: partial 16S ribosomal RNA
Rfam family: Bacterial small subunit ribosomal RNA
Source: RNAcentral
GACGAACGCUGGCGGCGUGCUUAACACAUGCAAGUCGAACGGAAAGGCCCUGCUUUUGUGGGGUGCUCGAGUGGCGAACGGGUGAGUAACACGUGAGUAACCUGCCCUUGACUUUGGGAUAACUUCAGGAAACUGGGGCUAAUACCGGAUAGGAGCUCCUGCUGCAUGGUGGUGGUUGGAAAGUUUCGGCGGUUGGGGGUGGACUCGAGGAUUAUCAGCUUGUUUGUGAGGUAGUGGCUUACCAAGGCUUUGACGGGUAGCCGGCCUGAGAGGGUGACCGGCCACAUUGGUACUGAGGUACGGCCCAGACUCCUACGGGAGGCAGCAGUGGGGAAUAUGGCACAAUGGGCGGAAGCCUGAUGCAGCGACGCCGCGUGCGGGAUGACGGCCUUCGGGUUGUAAACCGCUUUCGACUGUGACGAAGCGUGAGUGACGGUAAUGGGUAAAGAAGCACCGGCUAACUACGUG